AAAGUCGUAACAAGGUUUCCGUAGGUGAACCUGCGGAAGGAUCAUUAUUGAUUGUGAAUCGUUGCCUCCAGUGCUGGCUCUCGCAAGUGCACGGUUGGUGACUUUCAUCCAACACCCUGUGAACCUUUGGCCUCUUGCUAGCUUCGGCUGGCAGAGGAUUUUUACACACACUCGAAUGUAAUGAAAUUAUUGUCGUGCGCAAGCACUUAUGUACAACUUUCAACAACGGAUCUCUUGGCUCUCGCAUCGAUGAAGAACGCAGCGAAAUGCGAUAAGUAAUGUGAAUUGCAGAAUUCAGUGAAUCAUCGAAUCUUUGAACGCACCUUGCACCCUUUGGCAUUCCGAAGGGUAUGCUCGUUUGAGUGUCAUUGUACUCUCACACUUCUGAUCCUUUGGAUUUGGAGCGGUGGACUUGGGUGUUGCCACUUGACGGUGGCUCACCUCUAAUGCAUUAGUGCAACUCCUGGUUGGACCAUAGUACGGCGUGAUAAGUGUCUUCGCCGGCACCUCGUGAGAGGGUGGCCGAUCGAGAGCUCUGUGCUUUCAAACCGUCCUUGCAAGGACAAUGACUGACAACUUGACCUCAAAUCGAGUAGGACUACCCGCUGAACUUAAGCAUAUCAAUAAGCGGAGGAAAAGAAACUAACAAGGAUU
RNAcentral lists this ribosomal RNA (654 nucleotides) under uncultured Sebacinaceae. RNAcentral describes it as "eukaryotic LSU rRNA". The stretch from base 215 to 368 matches the Rfam family "5.8S ribosomal RNA". Lineage: Eukaryota; Fungi; Basidiomycota; Agaricomycetes; Sebacinales; Sebacinaceae. The record is from RNAcentral.